GGGGCCAUAGCUCAGUCGGAAGAGCGCCUGUUUUGCAAACAGGAGGCCGGGAGUUCGAUCCUCCCUGGCUCCA
This 73-nucleotide transfer RNA is filed under the name Mycobacterium koreense. Its description in RNAcentral is "tRNA-Ala". It matches the Rfam family "tRNA". Rfam says of the family: Transfer RNA (tRNA) molecules are approximately 80 nucleotides in length. Their secondary structure includes four short double-helical elements and three loops (D, anti-codon, and T loops). Lineage: Bacteria; Bacillati; Actinomycetota; Actinomycetes; Mycobacteriales; Mycobacteriaceae. The record is from RNAcentral.